RNAcentral lists this unclassified non-coding RNA (222 nucleotides) under Fusarium sp. RNAcentral's name for it is "partial internal transcribed spacer region". The stretch from base 1 to 46 matches the Rfam family "Eukaryotic small subunit ribosomal RNA", at positions 1786 to 1831 of the family's 1831-position model. RNAcentral also lists the same sequence under 2 other names. Lineage: Eukaryota; Fungi; Ascomycota; Sordariomycetes; Hypocreales; Nectriaceae. The record is from RNAcentral.
AAGUCGUAACAAGGUCUCCGUUGGUGAACCAGCGGAGGGAUCAUUACCGAGUUUACAACUCCCAAACCCCUGUGAACAUACCUAUAACGUUGCCUCGGCGGUGCCCGCUCCCCGUAAAACGGGACGGCCCGCCAGAGGACCCACAAACCCUGUUUCCAAAGUAUCUUCUGAGUAAACAUAAGUAAAUAAUCAAAACUUUCAACAACGGAUCUCUUGGUUCUG